RNAcentral lists this ribosomal RNA (254 nucleotides) under uncultured bacterium. RNAcentral's name for it is "partial 16S ribosomal RNA". It matches the Rfam family "Bacterial small subunit ribosomal RNA", at positions 524 to 776 of the family's 1533-position model. The record is from RNAcentral.
CACGUAGGGGGCGAGCGUUGUCCGGAUUUAUUGGGCGUAAAGAGCUCGUAGGCGGCUCAGUAAGUCAGGUGUGAAAACUCCAGGCUCAACCUGGAGACGCCACCUGAUACUGCUGUGGCUAGAGUCCGGUAGGGGAGCAUGGAAUUCCUGGUGUAGCGGUGAAAUGCGCAGAUAUCAGGAGGAACACCGGUGGCGAAGGCGACACUCUGGGCCGAAACUGACGCUGAGGAGCGAAAGCGUGGGUAGCAAACAGG